Molecule: ribosomal RNA, 301 nt
Filed under: uncultured bacterium
Lineage: Bacteria
Description: partial 16S ribosomal RNA
Rfam family: Bacterial small subunit ribosomal RNA
Source: RNAcentral
CAGUAGCCGCGGUAAUACGGAGGGGGCUAGCGUUGUUCGGAAUUACUGGGCGUAAAGCGCACGUGGGCGGCUUGGUAAGUUAGAGGUGAAAGCCUGGAGCUCAACUCCAGAAUUGCCUUUAAGACUGCCGAGCUAGCAGGUGAGAGAGGUAAGUGGAAUUCCGAGUGUAGAGGUGAAAUUCGUAGAUAUUCGGAAGAACACCAGUGGCGAAGGCGGCUUACUGGCUCAUACUGGACGCUGAGGUGCGAAAGCGUGGGGAGCAAACGGGAUUAGAUACCCCUGUAGUCCCUGUCUCUUAUAC